RNAcentral lists this ribosomal RNA (449 nucleotides) under uncultured bacterium. RNAcentral describes it as "partial 16S ribosomal RNA". It matches the Rfam family "Bacterial small subunit ribosomal RNA", at positions 29 to 523 of the family's 1533-position model. The record is from RNAcentral.
AACGAACGCUGGCGGCAUGCCUAACGCAUGCGAGUCGAACGAGAUCUUCGGGUCUAGUGGCGCACGGGUGCGUAACGCGUGGGAAUCUGCCCUUUGGUUCGGAAUAACAGUUGGAAACGACUGCUAAUACCGGAUGAUGACGAAAGUCCAAAGAUUUAUCGCCAGAGGAUGAGCCCGCGUGGGAUUAGCUAGUUGGUGUGGUAAGGGCGCACCAAGGCGACGAUCCUUAGCUGGUCUGAGAGGAUGAUCAGCCACACUGGGACUGAGACACGGCCCAGACUCCUACGGGAGGCAGCAGUGGGGAAUAUUGGACAAUGGGCGAAAGCCUGAUCCAGCAAUGCCGCGUGAGUGAUGAAGGCCUUAGGGUUGUAAAGCUCUUUUACCCGGGAUGAUAAUGACAGUACCGGGAGAAUAAGCUCCGGCUAACUCCGUGCCAGCCGCCGCCGUAA